RNAcentral lists this unclassified non-coding RNA (354 nucleotides) under soil metagenome. Its description in RNAcentral is "partial contains 5.8S ribosomal RNA, internal transcribed spacer 2, and large subunit ribosomal RNA". The stretch from base 1 to 120 matches the Rfam family "5.8S ribosomal RNA", at positions 35 to 154 of the family's 154-position model. The record is from RNAcentral.
GAUGAAGAACGUAGCGAAAUGCGAUAAGUAAUGUGAAUUGCAGAAUUCCGUGAAUCAUCGAAUCUUUGAACGCACAUUGCGCCCCCUGGCAUUCCGGGGGGCAUGCCUGUCCGAGCGUCACUUCUGCCCUCCAGCCCGGCUGGGUGUUGGGCGCUGUCCCCCCGGGGACACGCCCCAAAGGCAGUGGCGGCGCCGCGUCGGGUCCUCGAGCGUAUGGGGCUUUGUCACCCGCUCGGGACGGACUCGUCGGCGCUGGUCUUCCUCCAGGCGACCCUUCGGGGCUCGUCUUCCUUCGGUUGACCUCGGAUCAGGUAGGGUUACCCGCUGAACUUAAGCAUAUCAAUAAGCGGAGGA